This 1720-nucleotide long non-coding RNA is filed under the name Sus scrofa (pig). Its description in RNAcentral is "lncRNA (ENSSSCG00060072309.1)". The record is from RNAcentral. Lineage: Eukaryota; Metazoa; Chordata; Mammalia; Artiodactyla; Suidae.
AUGUCUAUGGUGGAGGCUGCCUGGUCUGUGGAGUUGUGCACGGCAGCCCCAGCAGACCAGAACAAUCUGCACUUCCCUGAGCGUUGCCUUUUAACAUGUGGGCAUCUUUAUCCUUUCAGCCUUUCCCAGCAGGUCAGAAUCUGUUUUCUUACCUCUCUGAGUGGAAUUAGUUUGUUGGCAGAGAGGAAUCACCUCUUCCACAGGGAUUUGCUCCAGCACACAGUGGAAAUUAGUUGCAUCACCUCACUCAUACAAAGCACUUUAAUUGCUUGUGAAAAACACACAAUACAAAGUAGAGACUUGGAGUUCCCCUCGGGGCACAGUGGAAACGAAUCUGACUGGGAACCAUGAUGGGAACUACUACUUCAUGAUCUUCAAGUAGCUCCUCAUACAGUAUUAACUAAUUAAACGGGGAAAACAGCAACUUUCUAGAGGAGAAACCGGCAGACGGCACUCGAUUACGUGAUCACAGUUUACGUCACCUCGAUGUCACGUGAACAUCACGGACCACUGAGAGGAUGUGCUAAGAAGGAUAUUGUUGUAUGCUUGACAAAAAAGCACACCUUCCCUCUGACCCCGAGAAAAUACCAGGCAGCCCCAAAGUGAGGAAUAUAGUGAAACAUAACUAACCAGAACUCUUCAAAGGUGUCAAAGGCUGACUGAGAAACCAUCUCGCAGGCUGGUGGAGGCAGAGAUGUGAUGGCUAAAUGCAGUGUGGGAUCCUGGCCUGGGUCCUGGUGAGAACAAGGACAUCCGUGGGUCUGCUUCUGACACAGAUUCUGAAAUGUGAGUUUUUCUCCACACCACCAAGCAAUGAAUUCAAUUCUGACACUGUCCCCCUGGAGAUAGCACUGGAUCCCACAGGUUAAGGGCUCGGUCCUGCAAGACUCCCCACCCACUUCGGAUGCCAAUUACAAGUCCAGGUUGUCACCCAUGCUCCUGAAGUCUCCCGGGACCCCCUCCUGGGGUUCCAUUGAUUUGCUAGAGUGGCUCCCAGAACUCAGGAACAAUUCACGGAAGGAUAUAACUCAGGCGCAGCCAGGGGGAAGAGAUGCAUCAGGUGAGGUGUGGGGAAACAGCCAGCCACCCUCUGCAUGCUCCACUCUCCCCAGAUCACAUGUUCAUCGGCCUGGAGGUUGUCCUCACCCAUCCUUCUGCGGUUUUUAUGGAGGUUUCAUUACAGAGGCAUGAUGGAUUAAACCACUGGUUGUCGGGGAUCUCCAGCCCCCCUCUCCUCCCUGGAGUUAGGGGAUGGACAACGCUCUAAUCAUAAGUUUGGUUUCCCUGGCAACCAGUCUCCAUCCUUAGGUGACCUAUGGGCUUUCCAAAUGUCACCUCAUUAACACAACAAAAGGCAACUUUAUGCUUUCAUAGCAGAAAAUUCCAAGGGUUUUAGGAGCUCUGCGCUGGGUAUGGGGACCAAGACCAAGUAUAUACUCAGGGCUGCAUCCGAGGCACAUGGAGGUUCCCAGGCUAGGGGUCAAAUCAAAGCUACAGCUGCUGGCCUAGGCCACGGCCACAGCAAUGUGGGAUCCGAGCCGCAUCCUCAACCUACACCUCAGCUCACAGCAACGCUGGAUCCCCAACCCGAUGAGCGAGGCCAGGGAUAGAACCCACAUCUUCAUGGAUCCUAGUUGGGUUUGUUAACCACUGAGCCACAAAGGGAACUCCAUGUAUUUUGUAUAAUAAAUCACAACAUCACAGUGGAAAAAUUGGUGAA